RNAcentral lists this ribosomal RNA (2759 nucleotides) under Klebsiella pneumoniae. Its description in RNAcentral is "bacterial LSU rRNA". It matches the Rfam family "Bacterial large subunit ribosomal RNA". Lineage: Bacteria; Pseudomonadati; Pseudomonadota; Gammaproteobacteria; Enterobacterales; Enterobacteriaceae. The record is from RNAcentral. RNAcentral also lists the same sequence under 1 other name.
CACUAUCGUUAACUGAAUACAUAGGUUAACGAGGCGAACCGGGGGAACUGAAACAUCUAAGUACCCCGAGGAAAAGAAAUCAACCGAGAUUCCCCCAGUAGCGGCGAGCGAACGGGGAGCAGCCCAGAGUCUGAAUCAGCUUGUGUGUUAGUGGAACGGUCUGGAAAGUCCGACGGUACAGGGUGAUAGUCCCGUACACCAAAAUGCACAGGUUGUGAACUCGAAGAGUAGGGCGGGACACGUGGUAUCCUGUCUGAAUAUGGGGGGACCAUCCUCCAAGGCUAAAUACUCCUGACUGACCGAUAGUGAACCAGUACCGUGAGGGAAAGGCGAAAAGAACCCCGGCGAGGGGAGUGAAAAAGAACCUGAAACCGUGUACGUACAAGCAGUGGGAGCACCUUUAUGGUGUGACUGCGUACCUUUUGUAUAAUGGGUCAGCGACUUAUAUUCUGUAGCAAGGUUAACCGUAUAGGGGAGCCGCAGGGAAACCGAGUCUUAACUGGGCGUUAAGUUGCAGGGUAUAGACCCGAAACCCGGUGAUCUAGCCAUGGGCAGGUUGAAGGUUGGGUAACACUAACUGGAGGACCGAACCGACUAAUGUUGAAAAAUUAGCGGAUGACUUGUGGCUGGGGGUGAAAGGCCAAUCAAACCGGGAGAUAGCUGGUUCUCCCCGAAAGCUAUUUAGGUAGCGCCUCGUGAACUCAUCUUCGGGGGUAGAGCACUGUUUCGGCUAGGGGGUCAUCCCGACUUACCAACCCGAUGCAAACUACGAAUACCGAAGAAUGUUAUCACGGGAGACACACGGCGGGUGCUAACGUCCGUCGUGAAGAGGGAAACAACCCAGACCGCCAGCUAAGGUCCCAAAGUCAUGGUUAAGUGGGAAACGAUGUGGGAAGGCACAGACAGCCAGGAUGUUGGCUUAGAAGCAGCCAUCAUUUAAAGAAAGCGUAAUAGCUCACUGGUCGAGUCGGCCUGCGCGGAAGAUGUAACGGGGCUAAACCAUGCACCGAAGCUGCGGCAGCGACACUAUGUGUUGUUGGGUAGGGGAGCGUUCUGUAAGCCUGCGAAGGUGACCUGUGAGGGUUGCUGGAGGUAUCAGAAGUGCGAAUGCUGACAUAAGUAACGAUAAAGCGGGUGAAAAGCCCGCUCGCCGGAAGACCAAGGGUUCCUGUCCAACGUUAAUCGGGGCAGGGUGAGUCGACCCCUAAGGCGAGGCCGAAAGGCGUAGUCGAUGGGAAACAGGUUAAUAUUCCUGUACUUGGUGUUACUGCGAAGGGGGGACGGAGAAGGCUAUGUUAGCCGGGCGACGGUUGUCCCGGUUUAAGCAUGUAGGCUGGUUAUCCAGGCAAAUCCGGAUAAUCAAGGCUGAGGUGUGAUGACGAGGCACUACGGUGCUGAAGUAACAAAUGCCCUGCUUCCAGGAAAAGCCUCUAAGCAUCAGGUAACAUCAAAUCGUACCCCAAACCGACACAGGUGGUCAGGUAGAGAAUACCAAGGCGCUUGAGAGAACUCGGGUGAAGGAACUAGGCAAAAUGGUGCCGUAACUUCGGGAGAAGGCACGCUGGUGUGUAGGUGAAGUCCCUGCGGAUGGAGCUGAGACCAGUCGAAGAUACCAGCUGGCUGCAACUGUUUAUUAAAAACACAGCACUGUGCAAACACGAAAGUGGACGUAUACGGUGUGACGCCUGCCCGGUGCCGGAAGGUUAAUUGAUGGGGUUAUCCGUAAGGAGAAGCUCUUGAUCGAAGCCCCGGUAAACGGCGGCCGUAACUAUAACGGUCCUAAGGUAGCGAAAUUCCUUGUCGGGUAAGUUCCGACCUGCACGAAUGGCGUAAUGAUGGCCAGGCUGUCUCCACCCGAGACUCAGUGAAAUUGAACUCGCUGUGAAGAUGCAGUGUACCCGCGGCAAGACGGAAAGACCCCGUGAACCUUUACUAUAGCUUGACACUGAACAUUGAGCCUUGAUGUGUAGGAUAGGUGGGAGGCUUUGAAGCGUGGACGCCAGUCUGCGUGGAGCCAACCUUGAAAUACCACCCUUUAAUGUUUGAUGUUCUAACGUUGGCCCCUUAUCGGGGUUGCGGACAGUGUCUGGUGGGUAGUUUGACUGGGGCGGUCUCCUCCCAAAGCGUAACGGAGGAGCACGAAGGUUAGCUAAUCCUGGUCGGACAUCAGGAGGUUAGUGCAAUGGCAUAAGCUAGCUUGACUGCGAGCGUGACGGCGCGAGCAGGUGCGAAAGCAGGUCAUAGUGAUCCGGUGGUUCUGAAUGGAAGGGCCAUCGCUCAACGGAUAAAAGGUACUCCGGGGAUAACAGGCUGAUACCGCCCAAGAGUUCAUAUCGACGGCGGUGUUUGGCACCUCGAUGUCGGCUCAUCACAUCCUGGGGCUGAAGUAGGUCCCAAGGGUAUGGCUGUUCGCCAUUUAAAGUGGUACGCGAGCUGGGUUUAGAACGUCGUGAGACAGUUCGGUCCCUAUCUGCCGUGGGCGCUGGAGAAUUGAGGGGGGCUGCUCCUAGUACGAGAGGACCGGAGUGGACGCAUCACUGGUGUUCGGGUUGUCAUGCCAAUGGCACUGCCCGGUAGCUAAAUGCGGAAGAGAUAAGUGCUGAAAGCAUCUAAGCACGAAACUUGCCCCGAGAUGAGUUCUCCCUGAGACUAUAAGUCUCCUGAAGGAACGUUAAAGACGAUGACGUUGAUAGGCCGGGUGUGUAAGCGCAGCGAUGCGUUGAGCUAACCGGUACUAAUGAACCGUGAGGCUUAACCUU